UACUCUUAUUUUUUUCAAAUAAUAGCUAAUACUGUAUUGGCCUGCACUGUUUUGUUUUUUUUGUUUUCUUUUUUUUAUCUGCGGUCGUUGGCCGGUCUUUCCGAUGUUUGGCAGCCUUCCCGGCGGGCCGUCUCACGCUCGGCGCGACCUCAUUCUGGAAGUCGGCCCAAAUCCUGUUUGAGUUCUGGCCGAAGCCCAAGUUCUUCGAGAUGAUGGAAUUGGGCUCUGGCCUUGCGAGCGGAGCAGUUGCGCCUCGUAGAUUGCGGCGAAGUCCUUCAAUCUCUGUUGCCGGGAAAAAGAAAAAAAAACCCCAACCCUACCCGAUGAGAAACCGGUUAAUCUCAGACGGCCAAUCCCCAUGCCCCCUCCAUCCAAGUUUCCGGCGACCCACCGCCUGGACCCUCCUCGACGCCCUAUAUUGACCUUCCAGAAAAGGAAGGUGGGCGGCGGCCGGCGGCCGUAUUUCGAUGCGGAGGGUGGGCUAGUGGAGUUGCAACUGGAGGAGGACCUGCCCCACCUGUUCGACGAGCAAGAAAUCGACCGGUCGAUGUACGGCGAGCGCCUCUGGUUCCGGGAUCCCAUCGCCAAGCACGACACCAUCGACGGCUAUCUCUUCAACAUUCGCCUCCUCGAGCUCCUCUUCAGGCGCGACUUCUACGUCCAUCACGUGAGGCAGGAAUUGAUGAGAUCACAACAAGAUGGACUGUGGUGAUGAGAUUUGUUCUUCUACCAUGGAAACCAGAGUUGGUCUUCCCAGGAAUCUCGAUCAUGGGUGGCAAUCCCCAGAACCAGAAGUUCUGUAGCCAUGCGAUUAGCCUUAUUUAUAGCUGUAAUUAAAUACCGUCAUUAUUCAGAACUGAAAUGAUAUCUUCCAAAAUCGCAUAGAAUCUUUUUCUUUAUAUUUAGUGUUUACUUUUAUUUUCCGCCUAUAGAAUGUUUGGGAUUUCAUAAUGAAAAUUAUUUUUCAUUUGAAGGUCUGUGGGAUGUUUUAGAACAGGCAUUAGCCUAUUUAUUAUAAAUUUGUCGUCCCAAUUCGUCGACCUUGUUUGAAGCAUAUGAAUAUGGUCUUUCAAUUCUUAUGCAUAAUAGCUGCGGUUCUACAAGGCUUGGAAACACCGAAGUACCAGAUACUGAAAAGAACUGCUACUUAUGAGGUGUGGAUGUUUUCUCAGUGAAUAUGCUACACAUAGUUCAUUGUAAAUUGUAUCAUUGGUUAAACAUGCUACUAGCAUUCUUCGUGUACCAUGUCUCUGGAGCAGAACCACAUUAUUUCAACCCUUUAAUUUGUGAAAUGUUAUUCAUGUUAUAUUUUUAUACACCUUAAUUUGUGAACAUAAUUCAUGUUGUUUGUUUGUAUCAAUUUCAAACUUCCAGAAGUUAUUUUGAAUAUCAUUGUUAUUAGAAACUAUUGAGACCUUUAGCUCCUUUCUUCAACAUCUAUGUCCAACUCAUCUGAUAUGAGGAGGGGUUUCGGCUCCGGUCCCCUGUUUCAUUCAAAACAUGGAACCCGGAGGGGGGGCUUUUUUAAAAUUUGCAAUUUUUAAGGAAGUCGGCAAAUGGACCGUAGGUAGUGCCUUUCCUUCGCGGCCCUCCGCGUGCUCAUCGGCCUCUACCGCCCUCUUUCUGUCUCCCUCCCUCUCUCCCCCUUCUUUCUCUCUCAUUUUCUCUCUUCCAUUCUCCCUCUUCCCUGCCUCCUUUACUGUCUCGGUACGGGCCCGACAGAACGGUUCCGGGGCGUACCGACCCGUGCCACCGGGCAACCGGUUUGGGUUCCGGUUCCGGCACAGCAAACCAUGCCUAUGACUAUCCCUAUCUUUACUCAGGCUCGUGAUGACAAAUUAUCAUAAGUAUCCAUCCAGAUUGUUCUACCAAUGGACAUAGAGUGUAGCAAGUAAGAAAUUCGCAACACAAUCACUAACAUUUCUUGAACUUGAAAACCGCCAUGUUUAUUUUGCAAAGUGAUGGAGAAAUUCUGAACUGUGUUUGGAACAAGAAGACGUUUUACAUAGAGAUGUCUUGUUUACUGGAUCUAAAGAGAUGCAUAAUGUGAUCUGGUAACGUGAAGAUGCUUCAAAUCAAGAAAACUUGUCUGUGAACUUUAAAUCAUUGGUCUUAAGAAACUAAGAAAUGGUUUGAAGAAUUUGUGCUCCUUUAGGAAUUUUCUUAUUUGAUAAUAAUUUUGAUUCAAUCAGUUUACCAGCCCCUGGCGUGGAAGCAGUUAGCUUGCGAAAGCUAGAAGGAGGCAUAGCGGCAGCAACAAAAUUUAGUGGAGGAACUUGUCCACAAAAAGGAGAAAGAACUGCAGUGUGCUCUACUCAAAGAUGGUUUUAAACCUCAACAAGGUUACUUGCUUGCCGGUUAUAAUGAUCAUGGGCAGACAUGGAGCUUUAUAAUGGUAUGAUUUCUCUUUUCACCAGUAAAAUACUUAUCAUGCCUUGAAUAAAAACUAAAUUGGACUCUGCAGGGGUUUGUAGAUAUAUGAUCUGUUUUACGACCAAAGAGUACUAUUUCAAAUAUCACCUUUCUGGAAUGCUGAAUUUGCUUCUGCUACUCCACAGACCUUUUUUCGUUACCCUCUCUAUCUGGUGUAUGAUGUGUACCAAAAGUUGUAUAUUUGGUAUUUUGUACAUGUAUCCGGGUGUUUGUGAUGCAUGUUGUUUAUUCUGCAGAUUGCAAAAUUUUCCUGGAAGGAGAAGUUUACAUUCUUUGGAUGCUCAGAUCUAUAAACAUCCAACUCUUUAUGUCAACUUUUUUUUUUUUUUUGGGAAAAUUCUAGUGCUGUGAUUGUAGUUCCAUGCUUCAGCAUAGGGUUAGAGAUUAGCAUUUGUUGUCAAUUUUGUUUUUUGUAUUUUGUGCUUUUCACUCAGCCCAUCCUCUUAACAUUUGUCGUUUUUCUUUUGUUGAAAAUGCUCUCUUCUUUUCCUCAAAUAAAAAAGAAAAAAAGAAAAUGCUGUCUCUUCUUCUUCACGGCUCCAAAGAGGAAGAAGAUGCUGAUAUGGCUUUGUGAGUGCACUCUAGAAUAGUUUAUAAAUAUGUUGCAGACUGAUGGAUGGAAGAUAUAUGCUCCAAGCUAAGGGUCAUCCUUGUUGUAAGUGAAUAAGCUACCCCAAGAACUGUGAAUUUUGGAUCAAUGCUUACAACCACUUUCAAUGGAAAAACUUCAUUCUUCUUAAGCCAUGGUUUGUUGUUAGCUGUACAGGGUACCAAAAGAUGGAAGCAGCAGUUAGGAACCAUGUAACCUCUUGAUUUGCAUCCAUCUUGUAAGUGUGACAAUCAUGUUUUAUCCUAACCCUGUUUUAGGUCAGAAAAGUGCCACCUAAAGUAGGAUGCACAGUGAUGGUUGCCAACAAAUUGAUCUCUUGCAAGUUGAGCUAACUGGCUGAUAAAUAACUUUAUCUGCCUAUCCUUGAGCCACCUAUCCAUGAGUUUUAUGAGUAUAAACAUUCCCCAUUAUUUCAUGAUAUUGUGAGCUGGGAGUCUACUCUUCAAACUUUCAAAGUCUUAGAUAUUUGCUGGGAAGGAAAUCUCAUGCGGCUGAUUGGGCAGACGCUAAAUCAUUUGAAGGUGAUUAUUUACUUCAGAAAGUUGAGUUGCUGCAUCCAGAUUUUGCUGGGAUUUUGGCUGCUGAUACAGCUGCUACGACCUUCAUCAGGCCUGCUUAACGGGUUGCUGUCACAAUUGAAGUGCAGGUACUAUUGUGGCCUUUAACUUCUAUCUUCUUCUAUCUAUUGUAUGUGUUCUUUAGUCGCAGGCUGUUGUCGUGCAUCCUUCUGUUGGAUGUACCAAAAAAAAGCCCAAAGUAGAUGUGAUGUGGCCAUCCAUUGUUCUUGCUGGGUGGAUCACAAGUGCUUAACACAAUUGUCAUGCUUUAAACAUAACAUGUGGAUCUCUGGUGCUACCAUGGCUUUAAACAUGAGGAUCUCUGGUGUCAUUAGCUGUACAGGGAGUGCUGGGAACCGUUGCUGCGGGCUUUAGGCUCCAAAACUAAAUGGUGGAUGGAGUCGAACGAAGCAUUGGUGAAGAGGGAUGGUAAAGGGAAGGUGGUGUUUGAGAGUGUGAAUGAAGGGGAGGAAUGAGAUGAGAGAAGAAAGCGGGCUGACAAAUUAAGGAAGAAAGCACAAAGAGGCUAUGGAAGUCGAAUGGGCGAGAGUAGUACUAGGAUGGUUACUCCGUGGGAAGUCCAAACCUUCUUGCCUGUAGCCUUUUGGCAGCACUCAAUGUACAAAGCCUCCAAGUCAUCAAAACUGGUUACUUGCCACCACUCCGCCUGAUCUCGACUCCCGCAUCUUCUGCUCUGGAAAUUUCAACAGGUCUGAUCCACCAAAGUUCCUAGUAAUUGGUCCUUACUUAUUUCAAGCCAAUGGGGAAAUUCAGGCAUGACAGAGCUCUUUCAUGCCAUCGGUUAUGGUCUCGAUUGAUUCGAGAAGCAUUGAGGGGUGUGGUAGGAAGCUAACAACAGCAUCAUGGUUUGCCAAGGGACACGCCAUGCCUAUCAUAGGGAUUAUGUGGCCUUGGGCCAUUAGCGGAAGGAGGUAUUGGACCCUUCGUGUCGUUAUUGGGUGCUUGAAUGGUCGAGUGGAGAUGGGAUUGGCUGUUUGAUUCCUAGUGAAAUCUCUGCUGCAGGCACUUGCGCCUAGUGAAAUCUCUGCUGCAGGCACUUGCGGAUGGUUACAGGUGUUUGGAAAAAUUUAGAAUUGGAAUUCGACUCAGUGGUUCCUGGUUUGAUUCAGAAGCGCCAUGUUCUAUGUUGUGUUUCUUUCGAAAAAUGGACUGCAAGCAAAAUAGAGGAGUGCUGCUCGGCUCAAUGCAAAAAAGUAAAGGGUGCUCCUCUAUUUCAGCUUGGAGAAUGGGAUUUUAAUGGAAGGUACAAGUUUUGUUGGCCAGCUGAAAUCCAAAUUCAAAGCUGAUGGCAAGUGUUCUGUUUAAAAUUGGUUUCUUCUCAACUUGCUGUCUCGAUGUUUUCUGGAUUAGCCUGCUUUCACCAUAGCUGGGUGCUGAGAUUUUGUUCUCUUCUCUUCAAUUUUGUUGUCUCAUCAUACUUUGUAUUUGUAUCACAUUGUAAAUAGUUACAAUUCACUUGCAUAAAAGCUA
Molecule: non-coding RNA, 5091 nt
Organism: Phoenix dactylifera (date palm)
Lineage: Eukaryota; Viridiplantae; Streptophyta; Magnoliopsida; Arecales; Arecaceae
Source: RefSeq, a predicted model, not a curated record